CAGCAGCCGCGGGAAUACGGAGGAUCCAAGCGUUAUCCGGAAUCAUUGGGUUUAAAGGGUCCGUAGGCGGUUUAGUAAGUCAGUGGUGAAAGCCCAUCGCUCAACGGUGGAACGGCCAUUGAUACUGCUGAACUUGAAUUAUUAGGAAGUAACUAGAAUAUGUAGUGUAGCGGUGAAAUGCUUAGAGAUUACAUGGAAUACCAAUUGCGAAGGCAGGUUACUACUAAUUGAUUGACGCUGAUGGACGAAAGCGUGGGGAGCGAACAGGAUUAGAUACCCCGGUAGUCCCUGUCUCUUAUAC
This 301-nucleotide ribosomal RNA is filed under the name uncultured bacterium. RNAcentral describes it as "partial 16S ribosomal RNA". It matches the Rfam family "Bacterial small subunit ribosomal RNA", at positions 509 to 807 of the family's 1533-position model. The record is from RNAcentral.